GCAUGUCCCCUCUCCCCGCUCGCGGGGAGAGGGUUAGGGUGAG
This 43-nucleotide small RNA is filed under the name Sinorhizobium meliloti 2011. RNAcentral describes it as "putative ncRNA". The record is from RNAcentral. Lineage: Bacteria; Pseudomonadati; Pseudomonadota; Alphaproteobacteria; Hyphomicrobiales; Rhizobiaceae.